Molecule: non-coding RNA, 536 nt
Organism: Megalobrama amblycephala (Wuchang bream)
Lineage: Eukaryota; Metazoa; Chordata; Actinopteri; Cypriniformes; Xenocyprididae
Source: the annotation of a RefSeq genome assembly
UGUCUUCAGGUAAAUGAUCUGGAGUGUGUUUGCAUAUUGAUCAGAUGCUUCAGUGCUCUGAGAGUGUUUAUAGUGCUGUGAGUUUAACACUUCAUCACUGACACACACAACAAUCUUCAUCAACAUGACCUUCAUCAUCAUCUUCAUCUGGACUCUCACAGCGUUUGCUCAAGAGUGUAGAGGACAGAUCACCGUCACUCAGAGUCCCUCAAUGACAGCAGCUCAACCAGGACAAACUGUGAACAUCAACUGUAAAACCAGCAGUGAUGUGUUCAAUGAUGGUGCUGAUGAUUAUUUAGCCUGGUACUUACAGAAACCUGGAGAAGCUCCUAAACUCCUGAUUUAUUAUGCAAGCACCCUCGAGUCAGGAACUCCAUCUAGAUUCAGUGGCAGUGGAUCUAACAGUGAUUUCACUCUGACCAUCAGUGGAGUCCAGACUGAAGAUGCUGGACAUUAUUACUGUCAGAGUUUACACAGUAUCAGUGGCAGCUGGGUGUUCACACAGUGAUAAAGAGUCGUACAAAAACCUCCGUCAG